UAAAAGUUUGAUUUUUGCUUAAUUUUUACUUGUUUUAUUCUGGUGCAUGUAGGUUUUUAUAAGAUUAAUGUUUCUAAAUGAUUUUAUUAUUAUUUUCAGUGCUUUAUAUUUUUUUUUUUUAAUUGAAUUUGAGGUAAUAAAUUUUAAAUAGAAUAAUGUUGUGCCAGCAUUCGCGGUUAUACAACAUAUUUAAGGUAAAAUUUUUGGUUUAUCAGUUUUAUUUGAUUUUUUUGUAUUUAGGUGAAAUUUAUACUUUUAAAGUGUUUAUUUCUGGCUAGGCUUGGGAAGAAACCAGGAUUAGAUACCCUGUUAUUCUUGAAUAAUAAAAUUUAACUUGGGGAGUAAAUUUUGUUUUAAAUUCAAUAGAUCUGGCGGUUUUUUAAUCCUUUUAGAGGAACCUGUAAUUUAAAUGAUAGUCCACGAUUUUUUUUACCUUGACUUAUCUUGUAUAUCUCUGUCGUUGAAUGUAUUGAUAAUUAAUUUUCUUUUCUUUUUUGAAAAUUUAUGUUAGGUCAAGAUGCAGUUGUGUCAGGGUUAUUAUGGGUUACAAUAAUUUUUUUUUUUUGAUUAAGAUCUUUAUUUUCUUAUGAAUUUGGAUUUAAAAGUAAUUUAUUUUUUUUGAUUUUUUGAAUUUGGCUCUGAAUUAUGUACAUAUCGCCCGUCAUUCUCAUAAAUUGAGACAAGUCGUAACAAAGUAGAUGUAUCUGAAGAUGUAUCUAGAACCAG
RNAcentral lists this non-coding RNA (726 nucleotides) under Magadhaideus sp. n. SX-2018. The record is from RNAcentral. Lineage: Eukaryota; Metazoa; Arthropoda; Insecta; Hemiptera; Achilidae.